This is an RNA transcript of Gossypium arboreum, 1967 nucleotides long. It is a transcript of the gene named cytochrome P450 86B1-like, with no coding region annotated. The record is from RefSeq and is a predicted model, not a curated record. The transcript is spliced from 2 exons. Lineage: Eukaryota; Viridiplantae; Streptophyta; Magnoliopsida; Malvales; Malvaceae.
GGAUAGACUCUUGUUGAUCCUUUAUCAUCUUGUGGACAAGGCCACGUGCACGCCAAUAAAAGGCAUGCCUUAAAAAAGACGCAGUGUCUUUCGCCAUGCAAAAUCAGCUUAAUAGUUAUUCCAUUUUCCUAUCAUCUCAAAACCAUGACGAUCAACCCUAAUACCAACCUAACUUCCUCCGAAUACGAUGAUAAAUUUACCGGAAUCUUUGUUUCUCGGUGGCUGUUUUUCUUACAUCUUCAUAUCGUAGAGCUUAUCCUUGCCCUUAUCGUCUUCAUUGCUAUACAUUACUUGAGGCAGAAACGACGUUAUGGGCUCCCCGUAUGGCCAGUUCUAGGCAUGCUACCGACUUUGAUAUCCGGUCUCCGGUCCGAUCUUUUUGAGCUGAUUUCCCACAUAGUUUGCCAGCAGAAUGGAACUUUUUUGUUUAUAGGUCCAUGGUUUAGUAGCCUAAGUUUCGUGGUCACUGCCGAUCCUAGGAAUCUUGAGCAUGUUCUCAAGACCAAGUUCUCCGUUUACCCCAAAGGACCAUCUUUUCGCGAAAAUGUUGGCGACCUCCUCGGCGAUGGGAUAUUCAGUGCCGACGACGAAACUUGGUGACUUCAGAGGAAAGCGGCGAGCAUCGAGUUUCACUCGGCUAAGUUCCGGCGGUUAACCACCGAGUCAUUGGCGGAGCUCGUCCACGCUAGGCUGUUACCUAUCUUAGAAAAUGCCACAAACAAAUCGAUCCCCAUAGAACUCCAAGAUAUCCUAUUGAGAUUAACGUUCGAUAACGUUUGCAUUAUAGCCCUUGGGGUCGACCCUGGGUGCUUAAUCCCCCAGUUGCCCAACAUACCGUUCGCUAAAGCGUUCGAGGACGCGACGGAGGUGACGGCGCUCCGGCUUGUGACCCCAACAUGGGUGUGGAAAACCAUGAAGUGCCUUGAUUUGGGGUCGGAAAAGAAGCUGAAAAAGUUGAUAAAGGACGUCGAUGAAUUCGCCAAGAAAGUUAUCGAAACGAGGAAGAAGGAGCUGUCAGAGUCAGCACGGCAAAGAUCAGAUUUGUUGACGGUGUUUAUGACGUCAAAAGACGAGGAAGGGAAGCCAUUUUCCGACAAGUUUUUGCGAGAUAUCUGCGUGAACUUCAUACUGGCCGGCAGAGAUACUUCAGCGGUGGCGUUGAGCUGGUUUUUUUGGUUGGUAGGAAAGAACCCGAGGGUGGAAGAAAAAAUUGUAGCAGAGAUUAGCGGAAUUGUUGAGGAAAGGGAAGAGAUAAAAAAUGGCGAAUUGGUAUUUAAAGCGGAGGAGAUAAAGAAGAUGGAUUACUUACAAGCUGCAUUAUCAGAGGCCCUCAGAUUGUAUCCUUCUGUACCUCUUGAUCUCAAGGAGGCUGUUGAAGACAACGUAUUACCCGAUGGAACAGUGACAAAGACAGGAACGAAAGUAGUAUAUGCAAUCUACGCAAUGGGAAGAAUAGAAUCCAUUUGGGGAAAAGAUUGCAAAGAAUAUAAACCAGAGAGAUGGCUAAGAGAUGGCAAUUACAUGAGCGAGUCAGCUUACAAGUUCUCCGCCUUCAAUGGCGGUCCUCGCCUCUGUUUAGGCAAAGAUUUCGCUUUUUACCAGAUGAAGUUCACCGCCGCCUCCAUCCUAUACCGCUACACCGUGAAGGUGGUGAAAGGUCAUCUUGUUGCACCUAAAAUUGCAUUGACAUUGUACAUGAAGUAUGGGCUUAUGGUGAACCUCAUCAACCGCCACGAAUCGGGGCUCUACGAGUACCUCAAAUGAAAGAGAUACCCUUCAAUGUUGGAUUUGAUUUUCUUUUAUUGAAGGUUUAUUUACAAAAGUAACCCCAAAACUAAAUUGCUUUUUUUACUUAUAUUCUUAAAUUUUUUUUUGUCAAAAUAAAAUAUCUAAACUAUCAAUUUCUUCUUGUUUUAUUCAAGAAAGAGUACGAAUUAAUAACAUGCCGCAUGUCAUAUUCUUAUUGG